RNAcentral lists this ribosomal RNA (496 nucleotides) under uncultured bacterium. RNAcentral's name for it is "partial 16S ribosomal RNA". It matches the Rfam family "Bacterial small subunit ribosomal RNA", at positions 28 to 506 of the family's 1533-position model. The record is from RNAcentral.
GAUGAACGCUGGCGGCGUGCCUAAUACAUGCAAGUCGAGCGAACAGACGAGGAGCUUGCUCCUCUGACGUUAGCGGCGGACGGGUGAGUAACACGUGGAUAACCUACCUAUAAGACUGGGAUAACUUCGGGAAACCGGAGCUAAUACCGGAUAAUAUAUUGAACCGCAUGGUUCAAUAGUGAAAUACGGUUUUGCUGUCACUUAUAGAUGGAUCCGCGCCGUAUUAGUUAGUUGGGAAGGUAACGGCUUACCAAGGCAACGAUGCGUAGCCGAGCGGAGGGGGGGAUCGGCCCCUCAGGAACUGAGCAGCGGCACAGGCUCCUAGGGGAGGCAGAAGUAGGGACUCUUCCGAAAAGUGGGGAAGCCUGACGGAGCAACGCCGCGGGAGUGAUGAAGGUCUUCGGAUCGUAAAACUCUGUUAUUAGGGAAGAACAAAUGUGUAAGUAACUAUGCACGUCUUGACGGUACCUAAUCAGAAAGCCACGGCUAACUACGU